UGGGGAAUAUUGGACAAUGGGCGAAAGCCUGAUCCAGCCAUGCCGCGUGUGUGAAGAAGGUCUUCGGAUUGUAAAGCACUUUAAGUUGGGAGGAAGGGCAUUAACCUAAUACGUUAGUGUUUUGACGUUACCGACAGAAUAAGCACCGGCUAACUCUGUGCCAGCAGUCGCGGUAAUACAGAGGGUGCAAGCGUUAAUCGGAAUUACUGGGCGUAAAGCGCGCGUAGGUGGUUUGUUAAGUUGGAUGUGAAAGCCCCGGGCUCAACCUGGGAACUGCAUCCAAAACUGGCAAGCUAGAGUACGGUAGAGGGUGGUGGAAUUUCCUGUGUAGCGGUGAAAUGCGUAGAUAUAGGAAGGAACACCAGUGGCGAAGGCGACCACCUGGACUGAUACUGACACUGAGGUGCGAAAGCGUGGGGAGCAAACA
Molecule: ribosomal RNA, 427 nt
Filed under: uncultured bacterium
Lineage: Bacteria
Description: partial 16S ribosomal RNA
Rfam family: Bacterial small subunit ribosomal RNA
Source: RNAcentral